This 319-nucleotide ribosomal RNA is filed under the name uncultured eukaryote. RNAcentral describes it as "partial 18S ribosomal RNA". It matches the Rfam family "Eukaryotic small subunit ribosomal RNA", at positions 1470 to 1796 of the family's 1831-position model. The record is from RNAcentral.
CCCUUAGAUGUUAUGGGCAGCACGCGCGCUACAAUGGUCUUCGCAAACGGAUGCAUUCUCGAAGGAGAAUGCCAAUCUUGGAAUCUAUGCCUUGGUCGGGACAGUUGCUUGCAAUUUUUCGACUCGAACCAGGAAUUCCUUGUAAUCGUGAUUCAUCACAUCACGAUGAAUACGUCCCUGCCCUUUGUACACACCGCCCGUCGCUCCUACCGAUCGAAGAGUUAGGUGAAUUGUUUUGAUCGAUAAGAUUUGACUAUGGUCAACUCUCGUUGUGAAAUUCUGUGAAUCUGACUGUUUAGAGGAAGGAAAAGUCGUAACA